Molecule: ribosomal RNA, 499 nt
Filed under: uncultured bacterium
Lineage: Bacteria
Description: partial 16S ribosomal RNA
Rfam family: Bacterial small subunit ribosomal RNA
Source: RNAcentral
GAUGAACGCUGGCGGCGUGCCUAACACAUGCAAGUCGAGCGAGAUAAAUGUGAGUGGAGACUUCGGUCAAAGCAAUCAUUUUGAAAGCGGCGGACGGGUGAGUAACGCGUGAGCAAUCUGCCCCAUACAAAGGGAUACCCACUGGAAACGGUGAUUAAUACCUUAUAAGACCACGAAGUCGCCUGGCUUAGUGGCCAAAGAUUUAUCGGUGUGGGAUGAGCUCGCGUCUGAUUAGCUAGUUGGUGAGGUAAUGGCUCACCAAGGCGACGAUCAGUAGCCGACCUGAGAGGGUGGACGGCCACACUGGAACUGAGACACGGUCCAGACUCCUAAGGGAGGCAGCAGUGGGGAAUAUUGCACAAUGGGCGCAAGCCUGAUGCAGCAACGCCGCGUGAAUGAUGAAGGCCUUCGGGUCGUAAAGUUCUGUCCUAAGGGAAGAAUACAGUGACGGUACCUUAGGAGGAAGCCCCGGCUAACUACGUGCCAGCCGCCGCCGUAA